CCUACGGUGCGCAGCAGUCGAGAAUCAUUCACAAUGGGGGAAACCCUGAUGGUGCGACGCCGCGUGGGGGAAUGAAGGUCUUCGGAUUGUAAACCCCUGUCAUGUGGGAGCAAAUUAAAAAGAUAGUACCACAAGAGGAAGAGACGGCUAACUCUGUGCCAGCAGCCGCGGUAAUACAGAGGUCUCAAGCGUUGUUCGGAAUCACUGGGCGUAAAGCGUGCGUAGGCUGUUUCGUAAGUCGUGUGUGAAAGGCGCGGGCUCAACCCGCGGACGGCCCAUGAUACUGCGAGACUAGAGUAAUGGAGGGGGAACCGGAAGUCUCGGUGUAGCAGUGAAAUGCGUAGAUAUCGAGCGGAACACUCGUGGCGAAGGCGGGUUCCUGGACAUUAACUGACGCUGAGGCACGAAGGCCAGGGGAGCGAAAGGGAUUAGAUACCCCAGUAGUC
Molecule: ribosomal RNA, 446 nt
Filed under: uncultured bacterium
Lineage: Bacteria
Description: partial 16S ribosomal RNA
Rfam family: Bacterial small subunit ribosomal RNA
Source: RNAcentral